Molecule: small nuclear RNA, 310 nt
Filed under: Erinaceus europaeus (western European hedgehog)
Lineage: Eukaryota; Metazoa; Chordata; Mammalia; Eulipotyphla; Erinaceidae
Description: 7SK RNA
Rfam family: 7SK RNA
About the family: 7SK was discovered as an abundant small nuclear RNA in the mid-70s but a possible function has only recently been suggested. Two independent studies have found that 7SK RNA binds the CDK9/cyclin T complex (known as elongation factor P-TEFb). P-TEFb activates transcription by phosphorylating the C-terminal domain of RNA polymerase II.
Source: Rfam by way of RNAcentral
GGAUGUGAGGGUGAUCUGGCUGCGACAUCUGUCACCCCAUUGAUCGCCAGGGUUGAUUCCGCUGAUCUGGCUGGCUAGGCUGGUGUCCCCUUCCUCCCUCACCGCUCCAUGUGCGUCCCUCCCAAAACUGCACGCUUGGUCAAAGAGGAUGGCCUUCCCCGAAUCGAGACAGGCCAGUCUUGGGUCAAGGGUAUACAUGUGAGUAGCUGUGCCUCCCUGCUAGAACCUCCAAACAAGCUCUCAAGAAAGAACAUGGAGUCCAUAAUCUCAGAUCUGGCUGUUCAGACCCCAGCGGAUUCUGCUGGCAUCU